GUAGAUCGUGCCGGGCGCGCCCUCGGCGCGUGCGACCAUGCGGCC
RNAcentral lists this small RNA (45 nucleotides) under Sinorhizobium meliloti 2011. Its description in RNAcentral is "putative ncRNA". The record is from RNAcentral. Lineage: Bacteria; Pseudomonadati; Pseudomonadota; Alphaproteobacteria; Hyphomicrobiales; Rhizobiaceae.